CAAAGUGUAGCUUAACUAAAGCAUCUCGCUUACACCGAGAAAAUACCUGUGAAACCCAGGCCACUCUGA
This 69-nucleotide transfer RNA is filed under the name Dendropsophus nahdereri. RNAcentral's name for it is "tRNA-Val". It matches the Rfam family "tRNA". From Rfam's summary of the family: Transfer RNA (tRNA) molecules are approximately 80 nucleotides in length. The record is from RNAcentral. Lineage: Eukaryota; Metazoa; Chordata; Amphibia; Anura; Hylidae.